This 446-nucleotide unclassified non-coding RNA is filed under the name Hevea brasiliensis (rubber tree). Lineage: Eukaryota; Viridiplantae; Streptophyta; Magnoliopsida; Malpighiales; Euphorbiaceae. The record is from RNAcentral.
UUUCAUUGUUGUGGAUGCUGGUGAGACCUUCAUUCCUGAAAAGCAAGAAAGUCUUCCAAUUGGUUCUGAGAAAUAUGUCCCUGCAUGUGCAUGGACCUAUGUCUAUGCUGCUAAUUCCGGUCAGACGAUGCUACAUGCAACAUUGUCAAAAGAAUUUCAACAGUAUGAUCACUCUACCAGUGGUUCUGUUGUACUGCAAGCAACCUCGCGUAUUGCAGCAUUCGUACCUCUCAUUUUGCACCCUGCAAGUGAUGGAAAUCAGUUUGGUGGUUAUUGGUUCAACUUGGUACAGGCUGAAGCUGAUAAUCGCUUAGAAAAUAUGGAGCAUCUAUAUCUUACCCCUGGCACAUCUUUUGAAGUGAUGCUUCGUGGUGGACCUACUCGAUGGGAUCAGGGAGUUGAAUAUGUUGAAUCCGUGGAAAGUUUGGAUGAACAUAAUCUUAGGG